AGGAUCCAGCCUUGGCCACCCACCAUCUCCACUGCCGACAAGCUGCAAAAAUAUACAGUGUGAAUGGCUCACUACCUGGAAGUUUUGGAAACCAAUCAAGGUAAUUUAAAUAACCUAGAGAAGCUUUGGAGACCAUGGAAGGAGGGUGUUUUCUCUACAAAACCGCCUAGACCCACUUGGAAGUGAUGCCACAAGUGAAAGGCAUAUUGAACAGCAGGCUCAUUCCCCCUAGGAAAAAGGAACCCUUAGAAAAAGGAGUGUGCACCAUCUGCUGGAGAUUCAGGAGAAUGGCAGGAAGAAGAACCACAAAGCUAUAAAAGGUGUGAAGGGGCUUGGUAGGUUCAUUGAGGUACUACCACCUUUGAGAACUGAGGAGAGCUACAGAAAGC
Molecule: long non-coding RNA, 389 nt
Filed under: Phascolarctos cinereus (koala)
Lineage: Eukaryota; Metazoa; Chordata; Mammalia; Diprotodontia; Phascolarctidae
Description: lncRNA (ENSPCIG00000025511.2)
Source: RNAcentral